UCUCUGAAUCCCCUGAUUUCGCUGCCUUCAGCUUGAACACUCAACUGCUCUGCACUGCCAAGUGCUCUGAGCAGCAGCAGCAGCUCAUGCCUGAGUUGGAGGCCAGAUUCUUGAUUCGCUGAAGCUUUGAACCGCUAGCUGCCUCCCAAGCAGAGUGGAGCCUCGCCGCCGCGUGCCGCGUGCCUUCGUCUUCCUCGUCUGCCUCCACAGUCCAGCACGAGCUUCACCUGACAGACCUCCUCCUCAAUCCUCGCCUCACCCAUGGCUUGCUUCCAUGCUCCACAAUCCGCAACCCUUUCAGUAUCAGAUCCAUCUGCAGAUACCGGAGAGCCAUAGCAGGGCGAUGGGUGAGGCCGUACUUUGCGCUCCCGGUCGGCACGGAAGUUGCCGGCGGCGGAGGAGACGACGAGGGGGUAGAGACGAAUCAGGGGGCACAUUGCGAAUUUCUUAUCCAAACCAGAGGGUUAAGUGUAAAUAUUCGGACCACGAUUGCUAAUCGCGAUCCGAAUUAGGGAUGUAUAUGAAAAUACUCGGAUCGCGAUUAUUAAUCGAGAUCCAAACCAGGGGUGUAUUUGUAACUAUCCCGAUCUUUUUAGGGGAGGCAUUUGUAGAUAUUCCGGCCGGCGACAUGGCACCCGCGGAGGUCGCGCCGCCGCCGGCGAUCGCUCUUUCAGGCUUCCCGCGCUCGCCACCGUCACAUUCACUCGCCCAGAACUACCUCAGGCCUCGCGCGCGGGCCGCUAAUUGACCUAGCUUUUCCACGGCGACUGCCGCCUCAGGCUUCCGCGCUCCGGCCGAUCGAGCCGCCUAGUUCGUCUUCUCAGUUCCCCGCACGGGUGGGUUCACUCCGCUCGUCGUCGCGUCGCCCCUCAACAACCUCCGCGGGCUCCGCCCAGCAACAGCCGGCCGCGCAUUCCGUCACCACCAGCUUCAUGUUUCAUGGAUGAAAAAUAGGGCUUCAGCACCUGGAAGCUUGAAGGGAUGAACUAAGAAGAACACAUUAAAGGUUUGUAUGGCUUCUGGCAGAUACGGUCCAAAAUGACAACAAAAGCCAUGAUCAUUGAGCGAUCGACAUUUGGCAUGAUGGUAAGGCUGAAGACAUCUUCGCCAAGUGUGACCGUUUCCGACACUGCGCCGGCCUUCUUCCUGGUUAUCCUAGCCACCUCCUCCCCGUUGCCUUUUCGGAUCUUGCAGCUUCUCCUCCAGAAGCUACCCUGCACCCUGAAGCUAGGAGCUUGGGAGUCAUGAUCUGAUGAUGAGUUGGUGCAUCCUGAUAUGUGCACCUCUGCUUCGUCAUUGGUUUUUACAAGUGAGCAUUUCCUCAUGGAGAAGAGGUGCUGCCGCCUGGAGGAGCUCUUGUCACCGGCUUCUUCUGAUGCUCUGUAACAGUUCCACUGAUCGCACAUGCUGAGAAUCUGGCGCAGCAAGAGGGGGCAUUGUUAGUGUCAUAAUAUUUGGUAAUUGCAAAGUUGUUCCAUCUGCUUUGUCAAAACUGCCUGGCAAAGAAACAUUAACCAGAGGAGAUACUACUGAUGCUGCAAUAUGUUUAUUUUAUUUUGCUGCUA
Long non-coding RNA from Panicum hallii, 1565 nucleotides. RefSeq lists it as uncharacterized. The transcript is spliced from 2 exons. The record is from RefSeq and is a predicted model, not a curated record. NCBI's taxonomy places the organism in Eukaryota, Viridiplantae, Streptophyta, Magnoliopsida, Poales, Poaceae.